Long non-coding RNA from Spinacia oleracea (spinach), 2359 nucleotides. RefSeq lists it as uncharacterized. The record is from RefSeq and is a predicted model, not a curated record. The transcript is spliced from 2 exons. NCBI's taxonomy places the organism in Eukaryota, Viridiplantae, Streptophyta, Magnoliopsida, Caryophyllales, Amaranthaceae.
AACCUUUUAAAAGUGGGAGGAAUAUUACUGUAGCUUAUCUACAGUAAUUGAAACGACGCGUUGCUUUUAAUUACAGUACUACACUAUACUCGUCUCUCUCCUCUCAUUCGUAGUGGCUUCUUUCACCCUCACUAUUCUUUUCUCUCCUGAAAUCCUCCCUCAUUUCCUCCAUCCAUGGGCAAACUACUUUCAUGCAUGGAUUCUCUUCAUUUUAAUGGAAUUAUUAAUUUUCAGGUAAAUUUUCUCUCUAUUUUGCUCUCAAUUGUCAAUUUCUAGGUUUUCUGUUCUUUUUGUUUGAAAUUGCGACCUUUGAUAAUCUAUGGCAGACGGUUUAUACGUGGUUUAAAGUAAAGGAUAUUACUUUCUCUUCCUUUUCAUAGAAUUACCCUGAAUUUCUAUUUUUUGUUCAUGAUUUUUGUGAAAAAUCAAAAUCAAAAUCAGGGUUUAACGAGAGCUAUUUCAAUCGAAAAAACGCCAUUGAUGCUAGCAUGAGCACCUAUCAAUUCCUUGUUUGUUCCUUGUUUUCCUUCUAAUUUCGCUUUUUAUUUUUUAAUUUGGGGUUUUAUUGUCAUGAUAAAGAUAUAUAUUAACUUUGAGUGUUAUUUCUUCAGAUUGACAAUAGCAAUUCGAGGAGAUCGGCGACAAUUCCUAUUCGUGCGAAUGGUAUCAAUACUUGUAUAGAGUUAUCAAGUCCCCUCCCCCUUCUCCUUUGAGAAAUUCUAAGUUUUUUCAGUCAAACAUGAGAAUUUUGGUUAGGGGAGGAGAAGGAUUCAUUGGCUCCCACCUGGUGGAUAGAUUGAUGGAAAAUGAAAAUAUUGAGGUGAGCAUUGUUCCUUUUCAAUUGACAAAUGAUCAAACAAGGAAGAUGAUACGGCAAUCUUAGUGCAUAAUGCAAAUUUCCUAUUCUGUUCUUGUUCCGCUUGGGGGAGAGGGGGAAGUGGCUAAAUUAUUUUCUCGAUGUCUUAACAGGUGAUUGUGUUUUCCCUGUCAACCUUUAAUUGAUUAACAGAUUUGGUAUGUUGCGUGAGAGUAUGAGAUAAGCUGUUUGAAAUGUUGUGCACAAGGCAACUGCUCCAAAAUCAACAUAAGACAUGAACAUGCAUCAUGUGAUUCUUGUCAGAUUCAUUGUAGUUACAUAGUAGAAGUGAUUUAUGUAAUGAGAUCUAAGAAUGUUAUCAUAUUGUGAAUGGCUUAUGGCAAUAUUAUCAUAGUUUGCAGAGAAAAGAAACUAACAGUUGUAGUUGUGCUACCUUGUUUUGAUGUCAUCUUUUUAGUAUAUAAGUUUGUUUGGGCGUGCUUGAAUUUGGUCCAGUAAACAAAAGCAGAGACUACGCCAACCUCCUCUUACUAACGGAAAGCAAAUAACUGAGGUUAGCAACACAGUAUGAUAAUUGUUCAUAUUUUUUUCGUUGGCGAAUAUUUGGUGCUAUACCAAUCUUCUGACAGCUGACACCUCACCUUUCGUCCACCCUUUAGUGACUGAUUGUGCACCUACAUAUGAUCGCUUGUGAUGUUACAGGCUUUCAGCAAUGAUUGUGACCAAGUCAUGCGUGCGUGACUUUGGUUUAGUUUUUCUAGUGGGUUAAUGUUUUCGAUGUGGUGGUAUCCUGCUUGCUGGUGAAAGGUGAUAAUGUGUUGCUUAGUUCUGUUUUCAGAGCCCGUAAGUCGGUAAGUGGGAAUGUCUGUUGUUGCGCGCGUACAUACCAGCAGCAAUAGCAGGGAGUUUAAUUCCUGGUGCAGUUUUAUUGGGGAAGUGCUGUUUUGCCGAAGAAUUUUGGAGGCCUUAGUGUGGGUGUUAUCAUUAAAUGGAACAAAGCUGCUAUGGGAAAACAUGUAUGGGCACUCGCAAUAAAACAGAUGGAUACAUUCUAUCUAUUUACACUCACAGGAAUGGGAGAACUGCAGUCCUCCUGAAGACCGCCGUUUUUAUUGGAAAAGAGUAUGUGAAUUCAAGGAAAUACUCAAGGACAGUUGAAAAAUCCAGUUAAGUUUUCAAUCCAGAUAGCUUAUUAACUGGAAAAUCUGCGGAACAGGUUUAUUACCAUAUAAGGCAUUGUUUAUUACUUUAUUACCUGGGUUGCAACACAGUGGUUGAAAACAAAAGAGAGGUUGGCCAAGAUUGGUUUUGCCAAUCGAAAUAAACACCCCUACAAUGUGAUGGUGGUGGUACUUCUCAUGUCUUUAGUACAAACACGCGUAUAACAUUUCACUAAUUUUAUCGCAAAAUUAAUUUUCCCGGUAAUACCGCGCGCGUUGCGCCCGGUUAAGCCACUAGUAACCACAAAUGUUGGACUAAACAACAUCAACACUGAUGGUGUAAGGUUUAAUGAUGCAUAUGCAAGCAACAAAGUAAUUCCCA